GGGUUGUGAGGUUAAGCGACUAAGCGUACACGGUGGAUGCCCUGGCAGUCAGAGGCGAUGAAGGGCGUGCUAAUCUGCGAUAAGCGCCGGUAAGGUGAUAUGAACCGUUAUAACCGGCGAUACCCGAAUGGGGAAACCCAGUGUGACUCGUCACACUAUCAUUAACUGAAUCCAUAGGUUAAUGAGGCGAACCGGGGGAACUGAAACAUCUAAGUACCCCGAGGAAAAGAAAUCAACCGAGAUUCCCCCAGUAGCGGCGAGCGAACGGGGAGGAGCCCAGAGCCUGAAUCAGCAUGUGUGUUAGUGGAAGCGUCUGGAAAGGCGCGCGAUACAGGGUGACAGCCCCGUACACAAAAGCGCAUGUGCUGUGAGCUCGAUGAGUAGGGCGGGACACGUGGUAUCCUGUCUGAAUAUGGGGGGACCAUCCUCCAAGGCUAAAUACUCCUGACUGACCGAUAGUGAACCAGUACCGUGAGGGAAAGGCGAAAAGAACCCCGGCGAGGGGAGUGAAAAAGAACCUGAAACCGUGUACGUACAAGCAGUGGGAGCCCCACCACCAAAGCAUUUGCUGUACCGCGUUGACGGAGCGAAGCGACGUCAAACCGAUAAAACAGCAGUGUAAAGUGAGCCGCAGGGCGCUUUGCGCGACAGCGCAAAGGCAGGCGGUUUCGCGU
Molecule: ribosomal RNA, 674 nt
Filed under: Salmonella enterica subsp. enterica serovar Enteritidis
Lineage: Bacteria; Pseudomonadati; Pseudomonadota; Gammaproteobacteria; Enterobacterales; Enterobacteriaceae
Description: partial 23S ribosomal RNA
Rfam family: Bacterial large subunit ribosomal RNA
Source: RNAcentral